Molecule: ribosomal RNA, 266 nt
Filed under: uncultured bacterium
Lineage: Bacteria
Description: partial 16S ribosomal RNA
Rfam family: Bacterial small subunit ribosomal RNA
Source: RNAcentral
GAUGAACGCUAGCGGCAGGCUUAAUACAUGCAAGACGAACGGUAAGUGUUGUAGCAAUAUAGCACGAGAGUGUCGUACGGGUGCGUAACACGUAUGCAACCUACCUUGUACAGGAGGAUAGCUCGGGGGAAACUCGAAUUAACCCUCCAUAAUAUAUUUGAAUGGCAUCAUUUGAAUAUUAAAACCUUGGUGGUACAAGAUGGGCAUGCGUCUGAUUAGUUAGUUGGAGUGUAAUGGACUACCAAGACGAUGAUCAGUAGGGGACC